RNAcentral lists this ribosomal RNA (1265 nucleotides) under Streptomyces olivaceus. Its description in RNAcentral is "partial 23S ribosomal RNA". It matches the Rfam family "Bacterial large subunit ribosomal RNA", at positions 1 to 1204 of the family's 2925-position model. The record is from RNAcentral. Lineage: Bacteria; Bacillati; Actinomycetota; Actinomycetes; Kitasatosporales; Streptomycetaceae.
GGCCAAGUUUUUAAGGGCGCACGGUGGAUGCCUUGGCACCAGGAACCGAUGAAGGACGUGGGAGGCCACGAUAGGCCCCGGGGAGUCGUCAACCAGGCUUUGAUCCGGGGGUGUCCGAAUGGGGAAACCCGGCAGUCGUCAUGGGCUGUCACCCGCUGCUGAACUCAUAGGCAGUGUGGAGGGAACGCGGGGAAGUGAAACAUCUCAGUACCCGCAGGAAGAGAAAACAACCGUGAUUCCGGGAGUAGUGGCGAGCGAAACCGGAUGAGGCCAAACCGUAUACGUGUGAGACCCGGCAGGGGUUGCGUGUGCGGGGUUGUGGGAUCUCUCUUGAUCAGUCUGCCGGCUGGUCGACGAGUCAGAAACCGUUGAUGUAGGCGAAGGACAUGCGAAAGGUCCGGCGUAGAGGGUAAGACCCCCGUAGUCGAAACAUUAGCGGCUCGUUUGAGAGACACCCAAGUAGCACGGGGCCCGAGAAAUCCCGUGUGAAUCUGGCGGGACCACCCGCUAAGCCUAAAUAUUCCCUGGUGACCGAUAGCGGAUAGUACCGUGAGGGAAUGGUGAAAAGUACCGCGGGAGCGGAGUGAAAUAGUACCUGAAACCGUGUGCCUACAAGCCGUGGGAGCGUCGCGCAAGGACUUGUCCUUGCGUCGUGACUGCGUGCCUUUUGAAGAAUGAGCCUGCGAGUUUGCGGUGUGUUGCGAGGUUAACCCGAGUGGGGAAGCCGUAGCGAAAGCGAGUCCGAACAGGGCGCUGUAGUAGCACGCUCAAGACCCGAAGCGGAGUGAUCUAGCCAUGGGCAGGUUGAAGCGGAGGUAAGACUUCGUGGAGGACCGAACCCACCAGGGUUGAAAACCUGGGGGAUGACCUGUGGUUAGGGGUGAAAGGCCAAUCAAACUCCGUGAUAGCUGGUUCUCCCCGAAAUGCAUUUAGGUGCAGCGUCGUGUGUUUCUUGCCGGAGGUAGAGCACUGGAUAGGCGAUGGGCCCUACCGGGUUACUGACCUUAGCCAAACUCCGAAUGCCGGUAAGUGAGAGCGCGGCAGUGAGACUGUGGGGGAUAAGCUCCAUGGUCGAGAGGGAAACAGCCCAGAGCAUCGACUAAGGCCCCUAAGCGUACGCUAAGUGGGAAAGGAUGUGGAGUCGCACAGACAACCAGGAGGUUGGCUUAGAAGCAGCCACCCUUGAAAGAGUGCGUAAUAGCUCACUGGUCUAGUGAUUCCGCGCCGACAAUGUAGCGGGGCUCAAGCGUACCGCCGAAGUCGUG